AAGCUUGAGGCAGGCGCGCGUAUUGAUUCCCGCGUGACGUUUAUACGGUGAGGUGAGAAAGCUGCAACCUGAAGAGUCGUGCCAUUUCCUUCGCCACUAAAAAACUGAACGAGGAAGACACGGACUCAAGCAACAAUUUGGGAUUCCUCGUUUUUGAGCCGUUUGUCCUUGGUCCACUGGAAGGAGAUCGGUGAUCAGUGGACCAGAAUGAGAGAGGUCAUUCAAGUCUGCUCGAGCAGGGACCCGUUGGCCCUUCGCGCGAGAAAUGAUUUUUAGAAGGAAGAGGGCAUGACGCACCGAACUCAUGCAGUGGCGAAAACACGUGCGCAUCAAGUACGGUGGUCGAGUCGGUGUCGGUCAAGGACAACGGGAGCGGGAGCAGGUGCAGCUGCAGGUGCGCGUGGUGCAGCUGCAGCGGGAAGGG
Molecule: long non-coding RNA, 424 nt
Organism: Apis dorsata (giant honeybee)
Lineage: Eukaryota; Metazoa; Arthropoda; Insecta; Hymenoptera; Apidae
Exons: 3
Source: RefSeq, a predicted model, not a curated record